This 253-nucleotide ribosomal RNA is filed under the name uncultured bacterium. RNAcentral's name for it is "partial 16S ribosomal RNA". It matches the Rfam family "Bacterial small subunit ribosomal RNA", at positions 524 to 776 of the family's 1533-position model. The record is from RNAcentral.
UACGUAGGGGGCAAGCGUUGUCCGGAAUCAUUGGGCGUAAAGAGCGUGUAGGCGGCUCUAUAAGUCCGCUGUGAAAGUCCAGGGCUCAACCCUGGAAGGCCGGUGGAAACUGUCGGGCUAGAGUCCGGAAGAGGCGAGUGGAAUUCCCGGUGUAGCGGUGAAAUGCGCAGAUAUCGGGAGGAACACCAAUGGCGAAGGCAGCUCGCUGGGACGGUACUGACGCUGAGACGCGAAAGCGUGGGGAGCAAACAGG